This 155-nucleotide ribosomal RNA is filed under the name Dorea sp. OM02-2LB. RNAcentral's name for it is "partial 23S ribosomal RNA". It matches the Rfam family "Bacterial large subunit ribosomal RNA", at positions 1 to 154 of the family's 2925-position model. The record is from RNAcentral. Lineage: Bacteria; Bacillati; Bacillota; Clostridia; Lachnospirales; Lachnospiraceae.
UUGGUUAUGCUAAAAAGAGCGUAUGGUGGAUGCCUUGGCACUAAGAGCCGAUGAAAGACGUGAUAAGCUGCGAAAAGCUUCGGGGAGGAGCAAAUAUCCAUUGAUCCGGAGAUCUCUGAAUGGGGAAACCUACUUGAGAAGACCUCAAGUAUCCU